CUGCUCGCUUCGGCAGCACAUGUACUAAAAUUGGAACGAUCCAGAGAAGAUUGGCAUGGCCCCUGUGCCAGGACGACAUGCAAAUUAGUGAAGUGUUCCAUAUUAUG
Molecule: small nuclear RNA, 107 nt
Organism: Nyctereutes procyonoides (raccoon dog)
Lineage: Eukaryota; Metazoa; Chordata; Mammalia; Carnivora; Canidae
Source: RefSeq, a predicted model, not a curated record